Molecule: ribosomal RNA, 253 nt
Filed under: uncultured bacterium
Lineage: Bacteria
Description: partial 16S ribosomal RNA
Rfam family: Bacterial small subunit ribosomal RNA
Source: RNAcentral
UACAGAGGGGGCAAGCGUUGUUCGGAAUUACUGGGCGUAAAGGGCGCGUAGGUGGCCUUCUAAGUCGAACGUGAAAUCCCCGGGCUCAACCCGGGAACUGCGUCCGAUACUGGAAGGCUUGAAUCCGGGAGAGGGAUGCGGAAUUCCAGGUGUAGCGGUGAAAUGCGUAGAUAUUGGGAGGAACACCAGUGGCGAAGGCGGCUCACUGGACCGGAACUGACGCUGAGGAGCGAAAGCGUGGGGAGCAAACAGG